GAAGAACGCGGAAGUAAACAAAUAAACGUGAACUGGAAAUCUCAACACAGAAGUUUUUGUGUAUACUAACACUUGUAACUAUAAUUGCAAACAGAAGCUAUGUAAAGGUAUCAUCUACUAUCAAGCUGGACUCUACAGACACUCUAUGUCGCAAGGCAGAACAGAUUUCAACAAACGAAUCACAAAAACAAAAAUAGAUGACUCUUUUCCUGAUGCAGAAUUUGAAGUUGAUAGUUACCACAUAUGGCGAGCUGAUAGAAACCAACAUGGAGGAGAUACACCAGAACUGCUGAAAUCCCCAAAGUAAGAACAUCAAGUUACGGCAUCAACUCUUUCCGUUUCGGGGCUGCCAAACUGUGGAACUCUCUCCCCCAACAUUUCAGGGACCAAUUACAUUUCAACCAGUUCUCCAGUUUGGUUAGCUCAUGGGACGGUGAGAGCUGCCGCUGCUCCUAUUGCAUGUAUCAAACAUAGUUGCUAAAUUUUGCUUUUUUGUUGUUGCUUGCAUGCUCUAUGUUUUCAUGCAUACUGUGAUAUAUGCUUGUUCAUGCAACGAAACUGAUUAUUUAAUAUGUUAGUUGCUUAAAAAAAAACUUUUUAUUUGGCUUUUUGUUGCUAGCUCGUUUAAGGUGCUACAUUUUUUAGUUUUUGUUGCUUGCU
This is a long non-coding RNA of Dreissena polymorpha, 660 nucleotides long. RefSeq lists it as uncharacterized. The transcript is spliced from 3 exons. The record is from RefSeq and is a predicted model, not a curated record. NCBI's taxonomy places the organism in Eukaryota, Metazoa, Mollusca, Bivalvia, Myida, Dreissenidae.